This 256-nucleotide ribosomal RNA is filed under the name uncultured bacterium. RNAcentral describes it as "partial 16S ribosomal RNA". It matches the Rfam family "Bacterial small subunit ribosomal RNA", at positions 524 to 776 of the family's 1533-position model. The record is from RNAcentral.
UACGGGGGGGAGCAAGCGUUGUUCGGAUUUACUGGGCGUAAAGGGCGCGUAGGCGGUCGUGACAAGUCACUUGUGAAAUCUCCGGGGCUUAACUCGGAACGGUCAAGUGAUACUGUCGGACUAGAGUACAGAAGGGGCAACUGGAAUUCUCGGUGUAGCGGUGAAAUGCGUAGAUAUCGAGAGGAACACCUGCGGCGAAGGCGGGUUGCUGGGCCGACACUGACGCUGAGGCGCGAAGGCCAGGGGAGCAAACGGG